GAUGAACGCUGGCGGCGUGCCUAAUACAUGCAAGUCGAACGAACGGACGAGAAGCUUGCUUUUCUGAUGUUAGCGGCGGACGGGUGAGUAACACGUGGAUAACCUACCUAUAAGACUGGGAUAACUUCGGGAAACCGGAGCUAAUACCGGAUAAUAUUUUGAACCGCAUGGUUCAAAAGUGAAAGACGGUCUUGCUGUCACUUAUAGAUGGAUCCGCGCUGCAUUAGCUAGUUGGUAAGGUAACGGCUUACCAAGGCAACGAUGCAUAGCCGACCUGAGAGGGUGAUCGGCCACACUGGAACUGAGACACGGUCCAGACUCCUACGGGAGGCAGCAGUAGGGAAUCUUCCGCAAUGGGCGAAAGCCUGACGGAGCAACGCCGCGUGAGUAAUGAAGGUCUUCGGAUCGUAAAACUCUGUUAUUAGGGAAGAACAUAUGUGUAAGUAACUGUGCACAUCUUGACGGUACCUAAUCAGAAAGCCACGGCUAACUACGUGCCAGCAGCCGCGGUAAUACGUAGGUGGCAAGCGUUAUCCGGAAUUAUUGGGCGUAAAGCGCGCGUAGCGGUUUUUUAAGUCUGAUGUGAAAGCCCACGGCUCAACCGUGGAGGGUCAUUGGAAACUGGAAAACUUGAGUGCAGAAGAGGAAAGUGGAAUUCCAUGUGUAGCGGUGAAAUGCGCAGAGAUAUGGAGGAACACCAGUGGCGAAGGCGACUUUCUGGUCUGUAACUGACGCUGAUGUGCGAAAGCGUGGGGAUCAAACAGGAUUAGAUACCCUGGUAGUCCACGCCGUAAACGAUGAGUGCUAAGUGUUAGGGGGUUUCCGCCCCUUAGUGCUGCAGCUAACGCAUUAAGCACUCCGCCUGGGGAGUACGACCGCAAGGUUGAAACUCAAAGGAAUUGACGGGGACCCGCACAAGCGGUGGAGCAUGCGGUUUAAUUCGAAGCAACGCGAAGAACCUUACCAAAUCUUGACAUCCUUUGACAACUCUAGAGAUAGAGCCUUCCCCUUCGGGGGACAAAGUGACAGGUGGUGCAUGGUUGUCGUCAGCUCGUGUCGUGAGAUGUUGGGUUAAGUCCCGCAACGAGCGCAACCCUUAAGCUUAGUUGCCAUCAUUAAGUUGGGCACUCUAAGUUGACUGCCGGUGACAAACCGGAGGAAGGUGGGGAUGACGUCAAAUCAUCAUGCCCCUUAUGAUUUGGGCUACACACGUGCUACAAUGGACAAUACAAAGGGCAGCGAAACCGCGAGGUCAAGCAAAUCCCAUAAAGUUGUUCUCAGUUCGGAUUGUAGUCUGCAACUCGACUACAUGAAGCUGGAAUCGCUAGUAAUCGUAGAUCAGCAUGCUACGGUGAAUACGUUCCCGGGUCU
Molecule: ribosomal RNA, 1371 nt
Filed under: uncultured bacterium
Lineage: Bacteria
Description: bacterial SSU rRNA
Rfam family: Bacterial small subunit ribosomal RNA
Source: RNAcentral